AUAAAAUUUUCCCGCCGGGCCCACCCGUCAGCCUCCUUCUUUCCUCCUCCUCUCUGUUCUGCGCCGCGGCACGCACGCGUCGCCACGCGCCGGCCAUCCCCGGCUUCCGUGCCGCUCGCGUCCUCCGCUCGCCCCAUCCUCCACGACGACGCCGCGGCCUUAUCCUUCCCCGCUGCCGUGUUCUCCUUCUCCUCCCCAUCUUCCUCCUCCUGGAACUCGAGCAGAGCUCGCCCCCAUCGCCGCGCCGACGAACUCCGGCCGCCGUUCCUCGAUUUCGCGCGCCCACGGCCCCCUCACCUCGCCCUCCACCUCCUCCAGCCUCCUCGAGCUCGCUCCCGCGUUUUCCCGGCGGAAUCGAGCCCGCGCCGCCCGGCCGCCAUUGACGCUGCCGCGAGGAGCUCCGUCGGCCGCCGUCGAUUCGCCGUCUCCGGGCCGUGGCGCAGCCCUCCGCCCGCCGCCGCUGUUCGUCGUCGCGCCGCCCCGUCGUCGCUCCUCUCCGCCCGUGCCGUUGUUGGUGAGCUUUGCCGUCGCCUGGAACAUGCCUUGCGUGCGCCUCCGGCCCCUCUCCAGCCCUGCUUCGCCGCGCCGCCGUCCGCCGUGUCGCGCGCGUCGUGGGUCUGUUCGUGGACAUGAAGAAGAUGAGCAGUGUGACUGAACCGUCGGAGGUCGAACCCGUGGAGCCCACCGAGUCCGUGGAGCCUGAACCCG
This is a long non-coding RNA of Panicum virgatum (switchgrass), 708 nucleotides long. RefSeq lists it as uncharacterized. NCBI's taxonomy places the organism in Eukaryota, Viridiplantae, Streptophyta, Magnoliopsida, Poales, Poaceae. The transcript has 3 exons. The record is from RefSeq and is a predicted model, not a curated record.